RNAcentral lists this long non-coding RNA (835 nucleotides) under Marmota monax (woodchuck). The record is from RNAcentral. Lineage: Eukaryota; Metazoa; Chordata; Mammalia; Rodentia; Sciuridae.
GAGAUUCCAGAGUCCAGGGAAUGGCGGAAAUGAAUGUUAGAGAGUACUUUGACUGAAGGACAUUCCCCUGGCCAUCUCAUUCUCAAAUUCACACACUCUCCACACACACCCCAGUACUUGCAAACCUGCAGUUGUGUAACUCUGCACACCAAUCCUGCCCCAGAAAUCAUGCUAUACCACUUUUACCCAGCAGAGGGAAGUGGAACACCAAAAUGACUGCAGAAAUAAUCCAGGACACAAAGACAGCCAUUUGGUAUUUGUCCUGUGAAUUCAGGUAGUGAAGAGUAAGAACAUCAUAGGAUUGAAAACAAAUUCUGGGUGAUGCCAGUUCUGGGAAAAAUAUAUGAAGAGGUGACUGCUCUUAUUUUAGGUGACUAAUCAUGGCCUGUCCCAUCAGGACAUCUCCCAUCAGGAUUCCCUAGGAGGCACCUUAUGGAAUGAGGCUCUCUUUUAGGCUUGGCUGCUGGUAGCCUGACCUUUCAAUUUUUUCCCAUUCUUCAUGCUUUGAAACACCUGUUAAAAUCAUGCAAUGUCUCUGUAUUCUUCUGAGUCCAGGCUUUAUGCAAUGACCUUCCAAACCAUGGCACUUUUUACUUUAGCUGCCAGGGGUGGUUCUUAAUGCUUUCUUCAAUUCCACAAAGUAGGAAAUGUGGGUACAGGCUGAAGUGCAAUGUGUGCUCAGUGGUCAUGUUUGGGAGAAAUGAGAUACAUUUUUAUUUUUAUUUUUAGGUAAAUUACUUUUAGGGAAUUGAACCCAGGGCUUUGAAUAUGCUUCCACUGAGCUAUAUUUACCCAGCCCUAUUUUACCAAAAAUAAAUAAAUAAAUAAAAAGUUA